RNAcentral lists this ribosomal RNA (257 nucleotides) under uncultured bacterium. Its description in RNAcentral is "partial 16S ribosomal RNA". It matches the Rfam family "Bacterial small subunit ribosomal RNA", at positions 524 to 776 of the family's 1533-position model. The record is from RNAcentral.
UACGGAGGGUGCAAGCGUUAUCCGGAUUCACUGGGUUUAAGGGUACGUAGGCGGGCAGGUAAGUCCGUGGUGAAAUCUCUGAGCUUAACUCAGAAACUGCCAUGGAUACUAUUUGUCUUGAAUGUUGUGGAGGUAAGCGGAAUAUGUCAUGUAGCGGUGAAAUGCUUAGAUAUGACAUAGAACACCAAUUGCGAAGGCAGCUUACUACACAAAAUAUUUGACGCUGAGGCACGAAAAGCGUGGGGGAUCAAAACAGG